Molecule: RNA transcript, 3545 nt
Organism: Manacus vitellinus (golden-collared manakin)
Lineage: Eukaryota; Metazoa; Chordata; Aves; Passeriformes; Pipridae
Gene: TAFA5
Gene name: TAFA chemokine like family member 5
Exons: 5
Source: RefSeq, a predicted model, not a curated record
CAAAUUAAAAAAGGAAAGGAGAGGGAAAAAAAAAGUAAAAGGAGGGUCGUUCGUGGGACAUCUUCGAAGCUCAGCAGCACGCGUGGCGUCCAAGCCGCAGUGAAACCCUCCACGCCAGUGAAUCCCACCACAGUGGCAAGAAGAAAGCUGGCAGUGGCCACUGCGCCCAAGUAUCGCAGGUGUCAGAGUCAUCGUGGCUUUCUGGCUGGAAGAUGAUUCCUGCAACAGAACCAUGUCGCUGAUGAUAAACCGCAGGGUCGUUGGAAGAUGCCUUCCUUGAGGAUUACACCUGGAGAAAGCCCAUCAGUCAAGGGGAGAGCUGGCUGGUGAAACUGUCUGACUUUCCCCCCCACCGGGGAAGUGGCUUCAAUGGCUCCAUCUCCCAGGAGAAGCAGUAGGAAAGAUGCCAACACCUUGCCAAGCAUGUCUUCAACUUUCUGGGCUAUCAUGAUCCUGGCCAGUCUCCUAAUCGCUUACUGCAGUCAACUGGCUGCAGGUACAUGUGAGAUUGUUACUUUGGACAGAGAUAGCAGUCAGCCCCGAAGGACUAUAGCCCGACAAACAGCUCGCUGUGCAUGUAAAAAAGGACAGAUUGCCGGUACAACAAGAGCAAGGCCAGCAUGUGUUGAUGCACGAAUUAUCAAAACAAAACAGUGGUGUGAAAUGCUUCCAUGUUUAGAAGGAGAAGGCUGUGAUUUGCUAAUCAAUAAAUCAGGCUGGACCUGUACGCAACCAGGAGGACGGAUAAAGACAACCACGACUGAAGACCAGCUGGAAAUGUCCUGAGGCCAUGGUCUACUGGUCUGAGCUUGGGACUGGGAGCCAGAAACUCCUGAGCUCUAAUCCCGGCUCUGACAGUGACUCCCUCUGUGGCCUUGGGUCUCCUGACAAAUGCAGCAACACAGAAUCCUCGUAGGAGUGGUUUAGGCUCUCUGUGAGCUACUUAACUUAGUCAAGUUUCACUGCUGUUGAUCAUCAUCCGUUAUAUGUCAUCAACUCAACUGUCUGUUUCUCUGUAUCUCAUGAGUGACAGCAUAAUUCCUCUACAUUAUGAGCUAAAGUUUGUUCUACCAUUCUAAGGAUCACUGGACUAAGGAAUACAGAAAAAGAGAUAUGCUUGGGCAUUAGCAAUACAAACAAGUUCAUGGUUAACGUUUCAUCUGCGUUAUACACCACUGCUGGACUUGCUGUUACCUACACGUUUCAAUCCGAAGAGUCUGCUACAAUGAAGAGUAUCAUCCCAAUCAGCCUUAGAGAAGACUGUUUUGCCUAUGGGAGGACACUGAGGUGCAAAAGAGAAACUCUUCUUGUGCCCUAAACUGUCUGAAUUGCUUUUAUUUUCUUAUACUUUCAGUAUAUACAAUAGACCAAAGAGCAAAAUCUAUUUUAAAGUGGACACAAUCUUACUCUUAACAGAAUUAUGUCAUUUAAUUGAAGGAGGUCUCCACAAACAUGAUUCCAGCUUUCAAAAAGAUGAAAUGUUGUUGUCCAGCAGAAGUCUUUACGGAAAGCUGCAGUAAAAACUAACUCAGAGACCUGCUCUUGAAAUGCCACGUUCAAGAGAACAUUAUGGAGCACUGAGAGAAAAUGACCUAUGUUUGAAAAACUUGGACAAAAGAACACAAACUGUCUACACGGCACCUUUAUUCCUCUGUACUUAGAUUGACUUUCUCGUACUAAAAUCAUUUUCAGUUUUAACCAGUUAAACAUGCCUCUUCUACAGUUCCAUUUUUGAUAGUUAAAGUUGGAUAAUACAGUAUUUGCAAAGAGCAUGUUUGGUCAUCUGUGGCCUAUGUCUCAUCUGAUACACCAUUUAGCACCAGAAAGCAAAUUAAAGAGAAAACAAAAGUAACAUUUGUUUGAAAGAGAUCAUUAAAUGUAUUUUGAAAAGCCUAAAGUUAUAUAUUUAACAGUUUUUAUAUGUUGUAUAUUUGUAGAAAAUCCUAUUUAACAAUUAACGUGAUAACUCUGACAGUCAUGACAAGUGGUUCAGAGUUAAGUUGUGUUUUAUUACUUCAGUUGUCUCUGAAGUGACUGGUGUCGUUUGCUUUCUUCCAUGGGGACAUUCUGGAUGUAAAGCAUGACCAGAGAGGACUGUGUAGAAAAAGCAAAGAAUAAUGUUGUUUAUAUUACAUAAAUGCAUUCAACCAUUGCACUGUUGGAAGGCAUUUUUAUUUUUAUUUUAUUUUUAUUUUUUGUCUUUAUGUACUGAUAAAAAUAGAGUGUAAAAUAUUUUACUCAUUGCUCUUCAUAGCAAGGUUUGUUUUUCUUUCUUUCUUUCUCUUUCUCUCCCCUAUUUUAUGUAAGGGUCAGUUUGAAGCCUGUUCCUUGAUCCCAUUUUCAGUGUUUUACCUCAUUGUUAGAAAGUCCACUUUUUCGGCAUUAUUGGUUAGUGAAAAUUUAGCAAAGACAGCAUAGACAAGGGAGAAAUUAUGACAAAACAGAGAAACAAAACCUUGUUCCCUUUUACCUUACCUUUUGGCAUAUAGGUUUGGUACACAUUGGUAUGAUGCAAUCAACAAGGGAGCUUAAUUUCUUCCUGGCAAAUGUGUUAUGGUUUCAAGUAUACUACCUAAUACUCAAAUUAACUUUUAGUGUUAUGCUCGUUCUGUUCUACUAAAGAAAAAUAUAUAGAGAUUAUUCAAGUGACCAUAGAUGAGAGAUACAAAAAUGAAAAGUUGAUAAAAGAAUUUUUUUUAAAGCCUGCUCAAACGCUGAGGCUUAUUUAAUGCAGAGGUUGCAGGAAACAUGACCUGUAUUGUAUCAGUUUGUCUUCAAGUAAAAUAAAUAUAUACAAAAUUCUUAUUUAAUCAUAGGAUUUUGACCAGUAUCAAAGUAGCAAUUAAAGCCCAGCCACUUGUAAAGUGUAAUGGACUGACUGCACUAUAAAUGACCGAUGUCAGGUUUAAAAUGUCAUGCAAUAAAUGAUGGUAAAUACAUUUACUGUACAUGUAGACCUCAAGAGCCAGAUCCUUCACUCUACCAACUCUCUGUUUUGAUUUAUUUUAAAGGGAGUGUAGUAGCCUUAUUUAGUAAACACAGAAAAAUGAAAGAUGUUACAUCAUUUUUGUUGCUUUACAGUAUUCAGUUUUGUGUUGGUUCAGCUAAAUUAUGAAAAAUAAAGAAAAUCCUUUUCUAAGUGAGACUUGUUCCCUGAGCAUGACGUCACCAAAGGAAUUUCACCAGAUGAUAAGGUGGGAGCACAGAGAGGAAGAUGGAAUUGGAAAUUGAGGACAUGGGUUGUGUUUUGAAGUUUUACCUUUCCAUUUUCAUGUCUUGGGUACCUUCAUUUUGGUAUGCUUAGUUACAGAUCAUAUUAAGGUCAUUUAUUUUCUGGAAAUCAGAUCCUCUAGGAACUCGGGUAUCUAAGAAUGUACAUUUGAAAUCUUUACAUCUAAAAUCAUACAUUCCAAUCAGUUUUGAAUAUGCAAUCUUAUGUCUUUGUUUUCUAAGCACUUUAAAAGCUCAACAGAAGGUAGAUGUACGUUGUUUAUAAGGUCCACUCUGGAGAAGAACUAUCAAAGGCAAAAGAUUCUGAUUAUUCU